RNAcentral lists this ribosomal RNA (435 nucleotides) under uncultured bacterium. RNAcentral's name for it is "partial 16S ribosomal RNA". It matches the Rfam family "Bacterial small subunit ribosomal RNA", at positions 29 to 507 of the family's 1533-position model. The record is from RNAcentral.
AGCGAACGCUGGCGGCAGGCUUAACACAUGCAAGUCGAGCGGGCAUCUUCGGAUGUCAGCGGCAGACGGGUGAGUAACACGUGGGAACGUAACCUUCGGUUCGGAACAACUCUGGGAAACUGGAGCUAAUACCGGAUACGCCCUUAUGGGGAAAGGUUUACUGCCGCAGGAUCGGCCCGCGUCUGAUUAGCUAGUUGGUGGGGUAACGGCCUACCAAGGCGACGAUCAGUAGCUGGUCUGAGAGGAUGAUCAGCCACACUGGGACUGAGACACGGCCCAGACUCCUACGGGAGGCAGCAGUGGGGAAUAUUGGACAAUGGGCGCAAGCCUGAUCCAGCCAUGCCGCGUGAGUGAUGAAGGCCUUAGGGUUGUAAAGCUCUUUUGUCCGGGACGAUAAUGACGGUACCGGAAGAAUAAGCCCCGGCUAACUUCGUG